Molecule: ribosomal RNA, 1159 nt
Filed under: Staphylococcus aureus
Lineage: Bacteria; Bacillati; Bacillota; Bacilli; Caryophanales; Staphylococcaceae
Description: partial 23S ribosomal RNA
Rfam family: Bacterial large subunit ribosomal RNA
Source: RNAcentral
GAAGCCGAUGAAGGACGUUACUAACGACGAUAUGCUUUGGGGAGCUGUAAGUAAGCUUUGAUCCAGAGAUUUCCGAAUGGGGAAACCCAGCAUGAGUUAUGUCAUGUUAUCGAUAUGUGAAUACAUAGCAUAUCAGAAGGCACACCCGGAGAACUGAAACAUCUUAGUACCCGGAGGAAGAGAAAGAAAAUUCGAUUCCCUUAGUAGCGGCGAGCGAAACGGGAAGAGCCCAAACCAACAAGCUUGCUUGUUGGGGUUGUAGGACACUCUAUACGGAGUUACAAAGGACGACAUUAGACGAAUCAUCUGGAAAGAUGAAUCAAAGAAGGUAAUAAUCCUGUAGUCGAAAAUGUUGUCUCUCUUGAGUGGAUCCUGAGUACGACGGAGCACGUGAAAUUCCGUCGGAAUCUGGGAGGACCAUCUCCUAAGGCUAAAUACUCUCUAGUGACCGAUAGUGAACCAGUACCGUGAGGGAAAGGUGAAAAGCACCCCGGAAGGGGAGUGAAAUAGAACCUGAAACCGUGUGCUUACAAGUAGUCAGAGCCCGUUAAUGGGUGAUGGCGUGCCUUUUGUAGAAUGAACCGGCGAGUUACGAUUUGAUGCAAGGUUAAGCAGUAAAUGUGGAGCCGUAGCGAAAGCGAGUCUGAAUAGGGCGUUUAGUAUUUGGUCGUAGACCCGAAACCAGGUGAUCUACCCUUGGUCAGGUUGAAGUUCAGGUAACACUGAAUGGAGGACCGAACCGACUUACGUUGAAAAGUGAGCGGAUGAACUGAGGGUAGCGGAGAAAUUCCAAUCGAACCUGGAGAUAGCUGGUUCUCUCCGAAAUAGCUUUAGGGCUAGCCUCAAGUGAUGAUUAUUGGAGGUAGAGCACUGUUUGGACGAGGGGCCCCUCUCGGGUUACCGAAUUCAGACAAACUCCGAAUGCCAAUUAAUUUAACUUGGGAGUCAGAACAUGGGUGAUAAGGUCCGUGUUCGAAAGGGAAACAGCCCAGACCACCAGCUAAGGUCCCAAAAUAUAUGUUAAGUGGAAAAGGAUGUGGCGUUGCCCAGACAACUAGGAUGUUGGCUUAGAAGCAGCCAUCAUUUAAAGAGUGCGUAAUAGCUCACUAGUCGAGUGACACUGCGCCGAAAAUGUACCGGGGCUAAACAUAUUACCGAA